Molecule: non-coding RNA, 21 nt
Filed under: Caenorhabditis elegans
Lineage: Eukaryota; Metazoa; Nematoda; Chromadorea; Rhabditida; Rhabditidae
Source: RNAcentral
UAAUCCUUUGAAAUUAUAUUC